Molecule: ribosomal RNA, 253 nt
Filed under: uncultured bacterium
Lineage: Bacteria
Also listed under: 1 other name
Description: partial 16S ribosomal RNA
Rfam family: Bacterial small subunit ribosomal RNA
Source: RNAcentral
UACGAAGGGGGCUAGCGUUGCUCGGAAUUACUGGGCGUAAAGGGCGCGUAGGCGGAUAUCUAAGUUGGGGGUGAAAUCCCGGGGCUCAACCUCGGAAUUGCCUUCAAAACUGGAUAUCUUGAGUUCGGGAGAGGUGAGUGGAACUCCGAGUGUAGAGGUGAAAUUCGUAGAUAUUCGGAAGAACACCAGUGGCGAAGGCGACUCACUGGCCCGAUACUGACGCUGAGGCGCGAAAGCGUGGGGAGCAAACAGG